GUUUAAUAAUAUUUUAAACUAAUUUCAAAAUUAGCAAAAAUAUUUAAAUAUAAUUUCGAAAAUGAAGAUCUUGUAAAAAUCUUUUUUAAACAGAUUUGUUAGAAUUUUAAAAUAAAUAUAUUUAUAUUUAAAUUGAAAAGAUAUCAAAAGAUAUUAUGAUUAAAAUAUUUUAAAAAUUGUAUUUAUUAUUAGUGUGAACUAAAAUGUAAUAUGAAAUUCUAUGAAUAAUUCCAUUAGGUCCAUUUUUAAAAAAAUCACACAUGAAUCAAGGUUGUGACUUCUGUUUUAAUAUAUAAGAUUAACUAUUUUGCAAAGACCAAAUACUAAACUUAAAAAAAAAGACCGAAUACCAAAUCUCA
This 359-nucleotide long non-coding RNA is filed under the name Brassica napus (rape). RNAcentral describes it as "long non-coding RNA (BNAP_LNC002997)". Lineage: Eukaryota; Viridiplantae; Streptophyta; Magnoliopsida; Brassicales; Brassicaceae. The record is from RNAcentral.